Molecule: ribosomal RNA, 345 nt
Filed under: Staphylococcus aureus
Lineage: Bacteria; Bacillati; Bacillota; Bacilli; Caryophanales; Staphylococcaceae
Description: partial 23S ribosomal RNA
Rfam family: Bacterial large subunit ribosomal RNA
Source: RNAcentral
GUCGCCUCCUAAAAGGUAACGGAGGCGCUCAAAGGUUCCCUCAGAAUGGUUGGAAAUCAUUCAUAGAGUGUAAAGGCAUAAGGGAGCUUGACUGCGAGACCUACAAGUCGAGCAGGGUCGAAAGACGGACUUAGUGAUCCGGUGGUUCCGCAUGGAAGGGCCAUCGCUCAACGGAUAAAAGCUACCCCGGGGAUAACAGGCUUAUCUCCCCCAAGAGUUCACAUCGACGGGGAGGUUUGGCACCUCGAUGUCGGCUCAUCGCAUCCUGGGGCUGUAGUCGGUCCCAAGGGUUGGGCUGUUCGCCCAUUAAAGCGGUACGCGAGCUGGGUUCAGAACGUCGUGAGA